Molecule: ribosomal RNA, 389 nt
Filed under: uncultured bacterium
Lineage: Bacteria
Description: bacterial SSU rRNA
Rfam family: Bacterial small subunit ribosomal RNA
Source: RNAcentral
AAUGAACGCUGGCGGCGCGCCUAAUACAUGCAAGUCGAGCGAGAAGACGUAGCAAUACGUUUGUAAAGCGGCGAACGGGUGAGGAAUACAUGGGUAACCUACCCUCGAGUGGGGAAUAACUAGCCGAAAGGUUAGCUAAUACCGCGUACGCUUCUUGGACUUCGGUUCAGGGAGGAAAGCGAUACCGUGGGUAUCGCGCUCUUGGAUGGGCUCAUGUCCUAUCAGCUUGUUGGGAGGUAACGGCUCACCAAGGCUUCGACGGGUAGCUGGUCUGAGAGGACGAUCAGCCACACUGGCACUGCGACACGGGCCAGACUCCUACGGGAGGCAGCAGUAAGGAAUAUUGCGCAAGUGGGCGAAAGCCUGACGCAGCGACGCCGCGUGGGGGA